UACCAGCUCUCCGAGUGGUAGGGAUGAUUAUUGGGCUUAAAGCGUCCGUAGCCGGCUUAGCAAGUCUCCUGUUAAAUUCAGCGACCUAAUCGUUGAGCCGCGGGAGACACUACUAGGCUAGGAGGCGGGAGAGGCCGACGGUAUUCUCGGGGUAGGGGUGAAAUCCUAUAAUCCCGGGAGGACCACCAGUGGCGAAGGCUGUCGGCUAGAACGCGCUCGACGGUGAGGGACGAAAGCUGGGGGAGCGAACCGGAUUAGAUACCCGGGUAGUCCCAGCUGUAAACGAUGCGGGCUAGGUGUUGGGGUGGCUACGGGCCACUUCAGUGCCGCAGGAAAGCCAUUAAGCCCGCCGCCUGGGGAGUACGGCCGCAAGGCUGAAACUUAAGGAAUCGGCGGGGAGCACCACAAGGCGUGAAGCUUGCGGUUC
Molecule: ribosomal RNA, 427 nt
Filed under: uncultured archaeon
Lineage: Archaea
Description: bacterial SSU rRNA
Rfam family: Archaeal small subunit ribosomal RNA
Source: RNAcentral